This is a microRNA precursor of Bison bison bison, 46 nucleotides long. The record is from Ensembl. Lineage: Eukaryota; Metazoa; Chordata; Mammalia; Artiodactyla; Bovidae.
CCCGGGGACUGCUGGCCAGGUGAGCAGGUGGCCAGCAGCUUGGGCC